CUCGAGUUUGGUUCUUUGAUUUGAUCCUCUAAUUAUGCGAUUUUCAUUAAUCUUAUAGAAAAUGUUCAAUACAAAUAUACUAAAUCCAUGUUUUAAAACAAAUGGUAUAUACAGAGAUUCUUAUCAUUUACACUUAUUUCAGUUAGGUAUAACAUCUUGUGAUCUCGGAAGGAAAAUUACUGAUUUAAUGUUUUUAUUUGACUUGCUGAAUGGAAAUGUAGAUUGUCCAGUGUUACUUUCAAUGGUUGGCUUUUACACUGGUCAUAUCUGCUUCAGGAUUAAUAAAAUGUUUUAUGCUCCAUUUCUUUUUCCAAUAGUUAUAGC
Molecule: non-coding RNA, 324 nt
Organism: Cinara cedri
Lineage: Eukaryota; Metazoa; Arthropoda; Insecta; Hemiptera; Aphididae
Source: the annotation of a GenBank genome assembly